RNAcentral lists this unclassified non-coding RNA (245 nucleotides) under [Borrelia] lusitaniae. RNAcentral's name for it is "Borreliella lusitaniae partial 5S-23S ribosomal RNA intergenic spacer". The record is from RNAcentral. Lineage: Bacteria; Pseudomonadati; Spirochaetota; Spirochaetia; Spirochaetales; Borreliaceae.
GAGAGUAGGUUAUUGCCAGGGUUUUUUAUUUUAUACUUCAAAUCUUGAAUUUAUUUUUUAUGUUUUUUAAAUGUUUAUUUUUUUGAAUGUUUGAUUUAAAAAAAUAAACAUUUAAAAAACAUAAAAAAUAAAAUAGAUAUUGACAUGGAUUAAACAAAGAUAUAUAUUAUUCUAUGUUGCAUAAACAAAUUGGCAAAGUAGAGAUGGAAGAUAAAAAUAUGGUCAAAGUAAUAAGAGUCUAUGGU